RNAcentral lists this ribosomal RNA (438 nucleotides) under Lophodermium sp. 'ayazem2 Morelos'. RNAcentral's name for it is "eukaryotic LSU rRNA". It matches the Rfam family "Eukaryotic large subunit ribosomal RNA", at positions 1 to 437 of the family's 3401-position model. The record is from RNAcentral. Lineage: Eukaryota; Fungi; Ascomycota; Leotiomycetes; Rhytismatales; Rhytismataceae.
ACCUCGGAUCAGGUAGGGAUACCCGCUGAACUUAAGCAUAUCAAUAAGCGGAGGAAAAGAAACCAACAGGGAUUGCCUCAGUAACGGCGAGUGAAGCGGCAACAGCUCAAAUUUGAAAGCUGGCUCCUUCGGGGCCCGCGUUGUAAUUUGUAGAGGAUGCUUCGGGCGCGGCACCGGUCUAAGUUCUCUGGAACGAGACGUCAUAGAGGGUGAGAAUCCCGUAUGUGACUGGCUGCCUGUGCCCAUGUGAAGCUCCUUCGACGAGUCGAGUUGUUUGGGAAUGCAGCUCAAAAUGGGAGGUGUACUCCUUCUAAAGCUAAAUAUUGGCCAGAGACCGAUAGCGCACAAGUAGAGUGAUCGAAAGAUGAAAAGCACUUUGGAAAGAGAGUUAAACAGUACGUGAAAUUGUUGAAAGGGAAGCGCUUGCAAUCAGACUUG